RNAcentral lists this ribosomal RNA (433 nucleotides) under uncultured bacterium. RNAcentral describes it as "partial 16S ribosomal RNA". It matches the Rfam family "Bacterial small subunit ribosomal RNA", at positions 29 to 507 of the family's 1533-position model. The record is from RNAcentral.
AGCGAACGCUGGCGGCAGGCUUAACACAUGCAAGUCGAGCGGGCCCUUCGGGGUCAGCGGCGGACGGGUGAGUAACGCGUGGGAACGUGCCUUCUGGUCUGGAAUAACCCUGGGAAACUAGGGCUAAUACCGGAUACGCCCUUUUGGGGAAAGGUUUACUGCCGGAGGAUCGGCCCGCGUCCGAUUAGCUAGUUGGUGGGGUAACGGCCUACCAAGGCGACGAUCAGUAGCUGGUCUGAGAGGAUGAUCAGCCACACUGGGACUGAGACACGGCCCAGACUCCUACGGGAGGCAGCAGUGGGGAAUAUUGGACAAUGGGCGCAAGCCUGAUCCAGCCAUGCCGCGUGAGUGAUGAAGGCCUUAGGGUUGUAAAGCUCUUUUAUCCGGGACGAUAAUGACGGUACCGGAGGAAUAAGCCCCGGCUAACUUCGUG